AGAUUCGGGCGAUCUCGUCGAGAUCGACUCCCGAACAGUCAGAAUUGAUGAUUUAAUUCAAUGGUUUAAUCGAUGGUUUAAUUAUAGACAACCGUGAUUAAUCGCAAUGACGUGACGGAAUGCAUUAUGGAACUAUUCAAUGUUUUCCACGGUGAUCUCUCUUUUAAUUACUCUGAGAUACGGACUCUUUAAAUCGCAUCUUUAGAUUGCGUACAAACGUGACUCUAAUUAUUUCAACGUUAUUAAUCAUCUCGAAGAAAUACAAAAUUUCUGAGAUUUUUUCUAAAGAAGAAAAUGUGAUAGAGUUCUUUAUGCGAUAAGAAUAACCGAUAACAUGGUUCGAGGUGCGAUAAUAAGGACAUUAAUAAAAGUCAGCUUAUUCUGUCUCUAUUGUUUGCUGGGUCCAUUCUUCAAAUUACGAGGUUUGAAGAAAAAACGGCUAUGUCCGCCGAUUGAUAAUCAAAUAUUGUUCCAAUCGGCGACGGAAAUCGCGCGGAGAAUCCGCAGAAGAGAAAUUGGUUGCGAAGAAGUGAUCACCGCGUACGUGAAGCGAUGCAAGAAAGUGAAUCCGUUGAUCAACGCGAUCGUGGAGGAUCGCUUCGAGGCGGCGGUUCGAGAAGCGCGUGAUAUCGACGAUUUUUUAAAAUCAACGACAAUGGACGAGGCGAGAAUUGCGAGCGAGAAACCGCUGCUGGGUCUACCUGUUACGAUUAAGGAAAGUAUUGCUGUUCAAGGUGAGUCACAUAUUUCAAUCCGUUCUAAUAUAACAAGUAUGCAUACGUUUCGACGAAUUUUAAUGAUUUUAUUUAUGUAAUAUUAUUAUUACGACACACA
Long non-coding RNA from Formica exsecta, 834 nucleotides. RefSeq lists it as uncharacterized. The record is from RefSeq and is a predicted model, not a curated record. The transcript has 4 exons. NCBI's taxonomy places the organism in Eukaryota, Metazoa, Arthropoda, Insecta, Hymenoptera, Formicidae.